This 5491-nucleotide long non-coding RNA is filed under the name Homo sapiens (human). Its description in RNAcentral is "non-protein coding lnc-CREB3L1-1:4". The record is from RNAcentral. Lineage: Eukaryota; Metazoa; Chordata; Mammalia; Primates; Hominidae.
AGCAAAGACCUGAGGACCUUCAAGAGUGUGGCCCCAGCGGGCUCCAGCCUCCGAGCCUAGCUCGGGAGGCGUGGUGUAGAAAAUGGCAGACUAGGGCAUCCAUGAAGACCGGGCGGCCCCAAGCCGAGAGGCAUGGCAAAACAGGGGUUGCAGGUGGCUGUUCUGGCAGAGCGAGGAGGAUGGAUUUGAAGAAGACAGGCAUGCAGGGGAGACCUUUGAGGGGAAUGUGUCAACAGCCAAGGGGGGCGGGGCGCCGGGGAGGUCUGGAUGAAGUGGGAAUGAGGAUGGAGUGCAGAGUGCCUGGAGAAGUGUUCAGGAGGGAAGGCGAGGCAUCGGGACGAGGGGCUGGGCGGUCGCGCCAUCUCUGCGAUAGACAAUAAUCGGGUCAACACGCGGCGAGUGGCGGUGCGCGCGGGGCCAACCGCGUGGAGCUGUCGGGAGGGCGAUAGGAUGGGCGCGCCCGGGCUGCAGGCGGGGAGCCGGAGGUGGGAGGUGCCUCUUGAGAGUGGCUCUCCACCGCUGACAGCAAACGAGCUGGUCCGGACGGAGGACAGAGGGGGAAGAAACGGAGGGAGUCGCUGGGGGACGGCGACGAGUGGGAUCCGGGCGGGUGGGACUGGGCGCAAAGGACCGCGCCGACGCCGCAUGGCUGCCGGGAAUUCAGCUCCCCCGGCCAGGUUGAGCGGGCCCCGGGGCCCGGAGCGGGCGUCGGCAUCUCCGGCCUCCCCGCGGGGCUGCAGGCAGGCGGCGCCCCGAGCGCACCCCGCGCGAGCAGGCGCGGAACAGCGGACCCAGGCCGGGCCUUCCCGCAGCUUUUCUGGCCGCCUCGGAGGGCAGGGUCCCAGCGCGGCCCGAGGCGCCUCUUGCCAGCGGCCCGACCUCCUGCCCUCCCGGCCCCCUCCAGGCUCCCCGCACGUGCAGGCCCGGCGACGUCACUGCGGCUCUGACGCGCUCUUGGAGGCCCGGGCGGAGGCGGCGCGGCGCGGGCUUCCUCCGGGAGGUCCCGGUCCCGGCAGCCCGCGGCCGCGUCCUUGGCCCUCCUCCGGGGGAACCUCGUUCAUUCCAAACUCUGGAAGGCCGGCUGUCCUUCGGUUACUGAUAAGGACGCGAGCUCUUGGUAAAAGAUUUGAACAAUGCCCGGAAAGAAAUAGCUGGACCUAAGAAACAGACUAAUAAUAGCUGCCAGCUAGAGCUCCACUCGUGUGCUCAGCGCCUUUAGGAACAAUAAUAACGACCACAGCCAUAGUAGCCACCAUUUAUUGAGCGCUUACUCUGUGCCAGGUGCUGUGUUAAGCGCUUUGCAGGCAACAACCCUCGGAGGUAAGUACCAUUAUCAUCCCUAUUUUGCAGGAAACCCGGGCACAGAGAGGUUAAGUAACUUGCCCCAGGGCACACAGCUAGCUGAUGUCAGUGCCAGAAUUCCAACCGCGGCUGUCGGACCCCAUGCCAUCCUCAUGUCAACCCACUAAGGACGGGAUCCUUCUGUCCAUCUUAAAGAUGAGGCAACUAAGGCACAUGGAAAUUUAAGUAUAAUACCUUGCCCAAGGUCACCUAGCUGGAAAAUGGACGAGACAGAAAGCGAACCCAGGGCUCCUUUCUGUACGCAGAACCCGCGGUCUUGGCCAUAGGCGAUGCCACUUCCGACAGCCCAGCAGGGUCUGGCCCUGGGUCCCAGAGGCGCAGCCCCUGCGGGGUUUGGAUGGGUUCCUGCGGCCUCCGAUCCGCUGGUGAAUUGGGUGUGUCUGAGCAUCGUCCCCGCUCAGCCCGCAGGCGUAGGAUAGGGAGGCGUCUCCGGGAAUCUACUCCGGGACGGGUCCGCGGUCCUCAGUCGGGAUGGAGCGGGGGCGGAGGCAGCCGGAGGGAACUGGAGUCCCCAUUGCAGAACUGCGGGGCCGGGCUCUGGGCUGGGCGCCUGCCCCGCGCGGCCGGCAGAGGGCGCUGCCGCACACGCCUUGGAUCUCACUGUCACUGGGACCUCGGGGCAGGCUGACGUCGGCCUGCAGACGCCUGGACUCAGAACCCCGAAGCAAGAAGCUUCCCUUCCUGGUGGCUGCCAUCCCUCAGGCCCACCAUUUCAGCCCUGGACCUGCUUUCCCUGACCACUUUUCCCCAUCUUCUGUGCUCCUGCCAUCCCACCACUGGCCUUCAAGACUUCCCCAGUCCCUGCACAGCGGGUUUUGUCAUCUGCUGAGAGGCGCGGACACUGAUUCCCAUCCCAUUAAAAGGCCUAGAUGUCUGCAAGUCAAAUUCAGCCUUGCUUCCCCUUCUCGCCCUCUGGUGAUUUAAAAUAGGGAUACAUCAUCUACUUGGAAUAAAUGACUAAUUUUUCUCUUCUCCAAAAUACGGUGGGUAUGGGGAGGGUUGGUUAAGUAGGCGCACACAGAUGAAAGGAUCUAUUUUCAUAAUAGCUACCGAGUACAGAGUGCUUCUUUUGCGCUGAGCCCUUUAUGUGCUUUGACUCAUUAAUCCUCACUACAGCCCUAAGAGGUGUGGAUGAUGAUUGCUGUUUGAUGGAUGAGGUCACAAGGCUGGUAAGUGGCAAAGCUGGGAUUCUUCCCAGGAGUGUCUGACUUUAAAGCUAUGUUCUCAUCACCCAGAAUGUACACGCUGAAACAACUGAACAGAAGAGGUAAGAUGCAAAUCAUGAAAAACAAAUCAAAAUCUACGCUGAGAGUGCAUAGAAAUACCACAUGUCAUGGGAGGCUUGACCAGCUUGAGUCCCCAAUGUGGGACUCAGAUGUUGAACAGAAAAACAAAACCUAAAGGUGCAAGGAGAGAAUAAGAAUGAGGCUUUUGGCUUUAGCUUGGAAGAGCAUCCGGAGAGGCCCACUCACUUUCUAUGUCUGGGCUCUGAGAAAAUAAAGGUGGUUCUAGGAAAAUCUGAAAAGUAUGGGAGAAAGAAAAAAAAAAUCCCUUUUGUGGUUUUUCCUUUAACCAAGCCUCAUUUUGCUAUUUGUGUUUUAUUUUAAAAUUAAUGUGGCUCUCCCCACCCUUUAAAUUGGCACAUAAAUAGCAAAAACAGAAGGAAAGCCAGCUACAAACUUAAAAUGUGGUGGGUUUCUCAGGAAGGAGGUACAUGACUUGAAAUGGAAAUGAGGAUUAAAUGAGAUGCCUUAAACAUUUCAAAAACAGACUUUCCACAAGGAAUUUAGAUCAUAAGCCCUUAGGGCAGAAGCUUUGUCUGGGUCUGGGCUUGGUAUAGUGUCUAGAAUCUGUGAGUGCCCAAUGAAUGUGUAAAACAAAUCACCCUUUUAGUACAUGCUUGCAUCAUCUGACCAUCUGGGCUACCACGUUGCUUAUGGUUUUAUUUAUUAUUAUUAUUAUUAUUUAUUUUUUGAGACGGAGUCUCACUCUUGUAGCCCAGGCUGGAGUGUAAUGGCACAAUCUUAACUCACUGCAACCUCUGCCUCCUGGGUUCAAGUGAUUCUCCUGCCUCAGCCUCUCGAAUAGGUGGGAUUACAGGCACCUGCCACCACACCCGGCUAAUUUUUGUAUUUCUAGAAAAGAUGGGGUUUCACCAUGUUGGCCAGUCUGGUCUCGAACUCCUGACCUCAGGUGAUCCGCCCACGUCAGCUUCCCAAAGUGCUGGGAUUACAGGCAUCAGCCACCACGCCCGGCCUGCUUAUGGUUUUGAAGUGUUGCUUCUGGGGUGAUAUUCCUGUCCUCUAGAUCUCAGUCACUCCUCAGACCCCUCCCUUUUCCAGAAAUUUGCUCUGGAAAUUCAAUCAAGGUGAGGCAAUAGGUGAUGAUGUCACUAGGCUUGGUGAAGUAGAAUGACUGCUCAGCUCUGGAACCACCAACUGGAGGUUUUUCCAAACGAGGAAAACAAAGUCAUGGGACUUGUCACUUAAUAGUUCUGACUGUAUUGCCCUGUGCCUUUAAACUGGAAGAAUUCCCCCUCUUCACCCAAUACCCUGGCCAUCCCAGGUGGCCUCCUGCAAAAUUAUUGGACUUCUUUGCCCUUUCCUCAGUCUGCUUCUUCUUCCCUCCUUCUUUCAGUACCUUCACUCCACAGACAUGUAUUGAGAGCCCAUUAUAUGUAGGUGCUGGGAGGACAGCAGAGAACCUAGCAUGAGCUCAUGGGCUCACCUUCUCCUGUUCCCACCUCCACCUGGCUCCUUUCUUCAUGGCUCCAACUUUCAGGUUUGGCUCCACCAUAGUAACUGACUUGCUUCUCCAUGUGGGAACAACUACUCAGACACUUUUUUUUUUUUUUUUUUUUGAAACGGAAUUUCACUCUUGUUGCCCAGGCUGGAGUGCAGUGGCACCAUCUCAGCUCACCGCAACCUCAGCCUCCUGGGUUCAAGGGAUUCUCCUGCCUCAGCCUCCCGAGUAGCUGGGAUUACAGGCAUGCACCACCACACCCGGCUAAUUUUGCAUUUUUAGUAGAGACAGGGUUUCUUCAUUUUGGUCAGGCUGGUCUCGAACUCCCGACCUUAGAUGAUCCGCCCACCUCCCAAGUGCUGGGAUUACAGGCAUGAGCCACCAUGCCUGACCAGACACAUCUGACAUUCUAUCAGCUCCGGGCAGCUUCCUGAGACCAUACCUGCUGACUUUAGAACCCCACCUUGGGGGUACCCAUUUGGCAGGUUUGGAUCCUGAUGGACCUUCAGGAGCAGAACUUGGGAAUGUUCUAGCUCCAGGACCUGCCAAUGCCGUCCCAUCCUUUCCUAGUUGGCUUUCCUUCCAUUCAUAAGAACACUGUGACAACUGAAAUAAUUCAGGUCAUAUUUAUGAAACAUCUAUUACAAUGAGAAUCCCAUAGUGACAUAAUACUCCACUGUUCACAGGAAAAUGCUAGCUAAAACAAACAACAGUGACUGUCUGGCAAGGGACGCAUCGAAUAAUGCUUAUGAGUCUUUUGGGUCUUUUUUUUUUUAAUCUUGGGAUCGAGUGAUUGAUAAUAAUGAAGGGGAAGGAAGACAUUAGGCCUGUUUUAGUUCUCAGAAUUAUUCACAGGGAAUAGACUUUCACCAUCAACACCCUAAAGAUGCAGAAUGCUCAAGGUAAAUUGCCAGUUUUUGUCUUUCUGGAAAAUCCAUUAAUACUGAAUGAUCUUGGUCUUGACCCAUUCCAAAAAAAAAAAAAAAAAAGAGGAUUGAGCCAUGGGAUUCAGAUUAUGUCCUUGAAAAUCCCUUUAAAAACUAGAUUCCAAAUCAGUGCUCUCAUUCUUCUUGAAUAUCCCACCCACCAGCUUAGCUUGUCCUAUCCCUUCUAGAUACAGCAUUAUUUUCUCUCUUUGAGGAAGAAUGGCCCAGAGGCCGGAAGAGUGAGGGAACGUAAGAACGACUUUUCCACUGACCUGAGUUGCUAAAGCCAUUUGGACCCAGAGAACUCAUUGUAUAUGUGUGCUGCUCAAUAUAUAUGUGUGCAUGAAUUUGUGGUUGUGCAUUUUCUGGCUAAUAUCCAAAGUCUUCAUAACAAGGGGCCUGAGAUACGACAAAAGGAAGACCUAUGUGUCAAGGACGUGUGUCCACCCACCAAGAAGUUC